Molecule: ribosomal RNA, 253 nt
Filed under: uncultured bacterium
Lineage: Bacteria
Description: partial 16S ribosomal RNA
Rfam family: Bacterial small subunit ribosomal RNA
Source: RNAcentral
UACGAAGGGGGCUAGCGUUGUUCGGAAUCACUGGGCGUAAAGCGCACGUAGGCGGACUUUCAAGUCAGGGGUGAAAUCCCGGAGCUCAACUUCGGAAUUGCCUUUGAUACUGUUGGUCUCGAGUCCGGAAGAGGUGGGUGGAAUUCCUAGUGUAGAGGUGAAAUUCGUAGAUAUUGGGAAGAACACCGAUGGCGAAGGCAGCCAUCUGGACCGACACUGACGCUGAGGCGCGAAAGCGUGGGGAGCAAACAGG